Molecule: ribosomal RNA, 495 nt
Filed under: uncultured bacterium
Lineage: Bacteria
Description: partial 16S ribosomal RNA
Rfam family: Bacterial small subunit ribosomal RNA
Source: RNAcentral
GACGAACGCUGGCGGCGUGCCUAAUACAUGCAAGUAGAACGCUGAAGGAGGAGCUUGCUUCUCUGGAUGAGUUGCGAACGGGUGAGUAACGCGUAGGUAACCUGCCUGGUAGCGGGGGAUAACUAUUGGAAACGAUAGCUAAUACCGCAUAAGAGUAGAUGUUGCAUGACAUUUGCUUAAAAGGUGCAAUUGCAUCACUACCAGAUGGACCUGCGUUGUAUUAGCUAGUUGGUGGGGUAACGGCUCACCAAGGCGACGAUACAUAGCCGACCUGAGAGGGUGGUCGGCCACACUGGGACUGGGACCGGGCCCAGACUCCUACGGGAGGCAGCAGUAGGGAAUCUUCGGCAAUGGACGGAGGUCUGACCGAGCAACGCGGCGUGAGUGAAGAAGGUUUUCGGGUCGUAAAGCUCUGUUUUAAGGGAAGAACGAGUGUGAGAGUGGAACGUUCACACUGUGACGGUAUCUUACCAGAAAGGGCCGGCUAACUACGUG